Galeopterus variegatus (Sunda flying lemur) is the source of this 396-nucleotide non-coding RNA. The record is from the annotation of a RefSeq genome assembly. NCBI's taxonomy places the organism in Eukaryota, Metazoa, Chordata, Mammalia, Dermoptera, Cynocephalidae.
AUGGAGAACCUCCUGGAAAGGGCUUUGGUGAUUCUGUGGCUUCAAUUGGCCAGGGUGAACAGCCAACAAGGAGAAGAGAAUCCUCAGAUCCUGAGCAUCCAGGAGGGUGACAAUGCCACCAUGAGCUGCAGUUAUAAAACAAGUAUAAACAACUUACAAUGGUAUAGACAAGAUUCAGGAAGAGGCCCUGUCCUGCUAAUUCUAAUACGUUCAAAUGAAAGAGAGAAACACAGUGGAAGACUAAGAGCCACGCUUGACACCUCUGCCAAAAGCAGUUCCCUGUCCAUCAUGUCUUCCCAGGCUGCAGACACAGCUGCUUACUUCUGUGCUAUAAAUGCACGAUGUUCACCAGGCACCUGCAACCCCUACACAAACCCUGCCAGAGCUGCCUCUUAA